Ahaetulla prasina is the source of this 2463-nucleotide RNA transcript. It is a transcript of the gene named reticulon 4 receptor like 1, with no coding region annotated. Lineage: Eukaryota; Metazoa; Chordata; Lepidosauria; Squamata; Colubridae. The record is from RefSeq and is a predicted model, not a curated record. The transcript has 3 exons.
GCCCUGCCCAACCCAGCCCAGCCCUACCCAGCCGCCGCUGCCGCUGCUGCGGGGAGAGGCGAGCCGAGGGCCGGGGGCGCAGGAAGACGCCCAGCCGAGAGGCAGCGCCAGCCAAGUGGGCGGAUUCCCCCCUAAAAGCGCCGCCGAGCGAAGCCGGCCCCGAGCAGCCAGGCACUUAGCCAAGUGGAGCCGGGAAGCCGCCGCGGCCACAGGCGAAGAAGCUGCGGCCGCGAAAUGCCGCUGCCCGGAGCGCCGCCGACCCGCGGGCGGAUUAGCAGCAGUCCCCGCCGCCGUCGCCGCCGCCCACUGCUGUGAGCGCUGGAUCGGGACCGGCCGCGGCGCCUCCGCGCCUCCAAGAUGCUUCGCCAAGGGCAAUGCCUGGAGCUCUGCCUGUUCCUGCUGGGUGUGGUGAUCCCAGCCUUUGAGGGCUGCCCCAGCGACUGUGUCUGCUACCCAUCGCCCAUGACAGUCAGCUGCCAGUCACACAACUUCCUGACGAUCCCAGAGGGGAUCCCAGCGGAUAGCGAGCGCAUCUUCCUGCAGAACAACCAGAUCUCGCUGCUGCUGCGUGGCCACUUCAGCCCCUCCAUCGUCACCCUCUGGAUCUACUCCAACAACCUGACCUUCAUUGACCCUGAGGCCUUCCGCGGCUUCAGCCGCCUGGAGGAGCUGGACCUAGGCGACAACCGGCACCUGAGGGAGCUGGCGGCCGAGACCUUCCAGGGGCUGGUCCACCUGCAUGCGCUGCACCUGUACAAGUGCGGCCUGAGUGCCCUGCCCAGCGGGCUCUUCAGGGGCCUGCACAACCUGCAGUACCUCUACCUGCAGGACAACCACCUCGGCUACCUGCAGGAGGACCUCUUUGUGGACCUAGUCAACCUGAGCCACCUGUUCCUGCAUGGCAACCAGCUCCGGAGCCUCCAGCCCAACUCCUUCCGGGGCCUGGUCAGCCUGGACCGACUGCUGCUGCACCAGAACCGGCUACAGAGCAUCCCCCAGCUGGCCUUCCAUGACCUCCGCCAGCUGACCCUCCUCUUCCUCUUCAACAACAGCCUCUCCGAGCUGCAGGGGGAGGCCCUGGCACCCCUGGCCGCCCUGGAAUACCUGCGCCUGAAUGGGAACCCCUGGAGCUGCGACUGCCGGGCCCGCUCGCUCUGGGACUGGCUGCGCCGCUUCCGGGGCUCCAGCUCCUCCGUCCCCUGCGAGGUACCCCAGCACUUCCAUGGCCGGGACCUGAAGGAGCUGCCGGCUGACACCUUCCGGAGCUGCUCGGCCUCGGAGUCUCUGCACCAGACCCACGGGCCCCGGCUGCCCCCCAGGGACCACCCACCCCUCCUCUCUUCCACAGAACAGGGGGAGGGCGCAGCAGGGGGCUACGGCAUCCAGUCUGGGCAGCGCCCCGGAUCCCGCAAGACCCUCAAGAACUGCACCAAGAGCCGCAACCGGAGCAGCCGGCCAGCCUCUCUGGGCCCCUGGAAGAGUGCUGAGGAGGCGCAGGACCUGAAACACCAGCCCAAUCUGGGCCUGCUGCCUAAGCCGAAGGGCAAGUGCCAUCGGGCCCCCGUGCUUCCCCCAAGUGGAGUCCAGCAGGCUGCGGGAGGGGGCCGGAGCUCAGGGGGCCAGGCCACACUGACCCUCCGUGCUGCUGUUCUCAUCUGGACCCUGGCCUUAGUAGUGAUCUUCCGCUGACUGGUCUCGCUUGGAGCCAUGCUGACCCUCCGCUCUUGAGCACCAGGGUGUACUCUUUUUCCCUCCGGGGAGGGCUCGGCCAUGUGGGGCAGCCCCUGCCACCGGCCUCCCCCCAGCCCAGUCGGCUACUGUCUAUGGCUAACCAGGCCUGGGAUUGCUCGGUUGGGAUUGCCCUGCACCCCGUGUGCAAGUGGAAUGGGGGGUUAGGAGCCUUGCCAGCCCCCACCUGGUGCCCCAGCUGAGCUCCCAGUAAGGCAAGGACAUCCCUGCCCCUCCCCAGCCGGCCUGGAGGGGCUCAUCCUGAGCAGGGCGGCAGGCUCUGCCCCUCCCUGGCCUGUCCACUCUCGGCCUGAGGAGACCAAGCGAGGCCCCAGAGACACCAGAGGAGGCCCCAGCCACAGCUGCCCAGCCUCCCCCCUGGACCAGCCGGAAGGACACUAGCUGCUCUUUUGGCUUCAGUAGGCCAGGGCUCCCAACGGAUGGGAGGACCUCCAUCUCCUCCUUGAUCAGGAUGCACCUUCAGCCCUGGCACGAAAGACCAGCUGCCAGCCGGAUCCUCCCAGACCACAGAAAGUCAGGCGGGCUGACUGGGCAGAGUGGGAACCUCAAAACACUCUUGAGCAAAACACUGGAUGCUUCCCAACCCACCCACAGCAAACGGGACCCUUGCCACGAGAGGGAAUAAAGCCUCUUCAUGAAACAGCCAUGGCUGCUGCCUCCGGGGAGGAGAGGGCUCCUGUUUCUGCACUCCUGAGAAGCCGGGGAGAUGGGACU